UACAGAGACCUCAAGCGUUAUCCGGAAUCAUUGGGCGUAAAGCGUACCGAUAGGUGGUUUUACAAGUCAGAAGUGAAAUCUCUCAGCUUAACUGGGAGACUGUCUUUUGAAACUGUAAAACUAGAAGGGCAAAGAGGAAGCUGGAACAAACGGUGUAGUAGUGAAAUGCGUUGAUAUCGUUUGGAACACCAAUAGCGUAGGCAGGCUUCUGGGUGCCACUUGACACUGCUAGGACGAAGGCGUGGGGAGCAAACGGG
RNAcentral lists this ribosomal RNA (257 nucleotides) under uncultured bacterium. RNAcentral describes it as "partial 16S ribosomal RNA". It matches the Rfam family "Bacterial small subunit ribosomal RNA", at positions 524 to 776 of the family's 1533-position model. The record is from RNAcentral.